GGGGAUGUAAAGGUUUCGACAGAUAUGCGGAAGCCGGAUAAGCGAGCCGUAGAUUGCGCUAUCUACGUAAAAAGGCGCACGUUAAAUAUAAACGCUAAAAAUAACAACAAACUCGCAUUUGCUGCCUAAUUAACGCAGCGCGCGCGUCGACCCUCUCUCACCUGCAGGGGAGGAUGUUCGGCGUCAUUAUGCAGGAAAACUCUGUGUGAAUUCCCGGCAGCACAGGGGAAUAACGGGAUAGUCGAAAGGCGGGCUUGUCGCUGAGCCUUCCAUGAGGCGAAUUUAAAAAGACAUCGACUGCGCUCGGAGAAAUUCUUGUGAAAGUGUAUUUGGACAGGGGUUCGACUCCCCUCAUCUCCACCA
This 363-nucleotide transfer-messenger RNA is filed under the name Gallibacter intestinalis. Its description in RNAcentral is "Standard tmRNA". It matches the Rfam family "transfer-messenger RNA". From Rfam's summary of the family: Bacterial tmRNA, also known as 10Sa RNA or SsrA, is named for its dual tRNA and mRNA-like properties. Its role is to liberate the mRNA from a stalled ribosome. Lineage: Bacteria; Bacillati; Bacillota; Clostridia; Eubacteriales; Eubacteriaceae. RNAcentral also lists the same sequence under 1 other name. The record is from RNAcentral.